AGGGAAAAGCUCAAAUUUUGAAUCUGUCGUCUUUGGCGAUCGAGUUGUAAUCUAGAGAAGUGUUUUCUGCCUUGGACCACACAUAAAUUCCCUGGAAUGGGGUGUCAAAGAGGGUGAGAAUCCCGUUUGUGGUGUGGACUCCCUUGGCUCUGUGAUACACUCUCAACGAGUCGAGUUGUUUGGGAAUGCAGCUCAAAAUGGGUGGUAAAUUCCAUCUAAAGCUAAAUACUGGCGAGAGACCGAUAGCGAACAAGUACCGUGAGGGAAAGAUGAAAAGCACUUUGGAAAGAGAGUGAAACAGUACGUGAAAUUGUUGAAAGGGAAGCGUUUGAAGUCAGUCACGUCGUCUGGGACUCAGCCUUGCUUCUGCUUGGUGUACUUCCCAGUCAACGAGUCAGCAUCAGUUUCGACCGUGGGAGAAAGACUUGGGGAAUGUGGCUCCUCGGAGUGUUAUAGCCUCUUGUUGUAUGUCUCGGUUGGGACUGAGGAUCGCAGCGCGCCUUACGGCCGGGGUUCGCGCCCUCGGUACGCGCUUAGGAUGUUGGCAUAAUGGCUUUAAGCGACCCGUCUUGAAACACGGACCAAGGAGUCUAACAUGUGCGCAAGUGUUUAGGUGUUAAACCUGGGCGCGUAAUGAAAGUGAAAGGUCGGGAUCAUGUACUUGUGCACCGACGCCCGGAGCAGACCUUCUGUGACGCAUCCGCGGUAGAGCGUAUAUGUUGGGACCCGAAAGAUGGUGAACUAUGCCUGAAUAGGGUGAAGUCAGAGGAAACUCUGAUGGAGGCUCGUAGCGAUUCUGACGUGCAAAUCGAUCGUCAAAUUUGGGUAUAGGGGCGAAAGACUAAUCGAACCAUCUAGUAGCUGGUUCCUGCCGAAGUUUCCCUCAGGAUAG
Molecule: ribosomal RNA, 892 nt
Filed under: uncultured Sebacinales
Lineage: Eukaryota; Fungi; Basidiomycota; Agaricomycetes; Sebacinales
Description: eukaryotic LSU rRNA
Rfam family: Eukaryotic large subunit ribosomal RNA
Source: RNAcentral